RNAcentral lists this small RNA (136 nucleotides) under Paenibacillus sp. RNAcentral describes it as "c-di-AMP sequence". It matches the Rfam family "c-di-AMP riboswitch aptamer (ydaO/yuaA leader)". Rfam says of the family: This family represents a conserved RNA structure found upstream of the ydaO and yuaA genes in Bacillus subtilis and related genes in other bacteria. The ydaO/yuaA element is thought to act as a genetic "off" switch for the ydaO and yuaA genes in its native state. It is believed that the element may be triggered during osmotic shock leading to activation of ydaO, a predicted amino acid transporter gene, and members of the yuaA-yubG operon which code for KtrA and KtrB K+ transporters. The record is from RNAcentral. Lineage: Bacteria; Bacillati; Bacillota; Bacilli; Caryophanales; Paenibacillaceae. RNAcentral also lists the same sequence under 1 other name.
AAGAAAAUAUUGCCGAAUUUCUGUCGUAGAAAACGGGGGAACCAUUUUUGGGUGAAUUGGUCUCGCUUUAGAGUGAUCAUAGGGAACCUUCAACCGAACCCUUCAGCUAACCUCGUAGGCACCGGAAGGGGAAACU